Molecule: ribosomal RNA, 253 nt
Filed under: uncultured bacterium
Lineage: Bacteria
Description: partial 16S ribosomal RNA
Rfam family: Bacterial small subunit ribosomal RNA
Source: RNAcentral
UACGGAGGGUGCAAGCGUUGUUCGGAGUUAUUGGGCGUAAAGGGCGUGUAGGUGGCUUUCCAAGUCCGGUGUGAAAUCCCACGGCUCAACCGUGGAACUGCAUUGGAAACUGGAUCGCUCGAGGGUUGGAGGGGGUCGCGGAAUUCCCGGUGUAGAGGUGAAAUUCGUAGAUAUCGGGAGGAACACCAGUGGCGAAGGCGGCGACCUGGCCAAUCACUGACACUGAGACGCGAAAGCGUGGGUAGCAAACAGG